RNAcentral lists this ribosomal RNA (949 nucleotides) under Microbacterium sp. RNAcentral's name for it is "bacterial SSU rRNA". It matches the Rfam family "Bacterial small subunit ribosomal RNA", at positions 36 to 996 of the family's 1533-position model. Lineage: Bacteria; Bacillati; Actinomycetota; Actinomycetes; Micrococcales; Microbacteriaceae. The record is from RNAcentral.
CUGGCGGCGUGCUUAACACAUGCAAGUCGAACGGUGAAGCCCAGCUUGCUGGGUGGAUCAGUGGCGAACGGGUGAGUAACACGUGAGCAACCUGCCCCUGACUCUGGGAUAAGCGCUGGAAACGGCGUCUAAUACUGGAUAUGUGACGUGACCGCAUGGUCUGCGUCUGGAAAGAAUUUCGGUUGGGGAUGGGCUCGCGGCCUAUCAGCUUGUUGGUGAGGUAAUGGCUCACCAAGGCGUCGACGGGUAGCCGGCCUGAGAGGGUGACCGGCCACACUGGGACUGAGACACGGCCCAGACUCCUACGGGAGGCAGCAGUGGGGAAUAUUGCACAAUGGGCGCAAGCCUGAUGCAGCAACGCCGCGUGAGGGAUGACGGCCUUCGGGUUGUAAACCUCUUUUAGCAGGGAAGAAGCGAAAGUGACGGUACCUGCAGAAAAAGCGCCGGCUAACUACGUGCCAGCAGCCGCGGUAAUACGUAGGGCGCAAGCGUUAUCCGGAAUUAUUGGGCGUAAAGAGCUCGUAGGCGGUUUGUCGCGUCUGCUGUGAAAUCCGGAGGCUCAACCUCCGGCCUGCAGUGGGUACGGGCAGACUAGAGUGCGGUAGGGGAGAUUGGAAUUCCUGGUGUAGCGGUGGAAUGCGCAGAUAUCAGGAGGAACACCGAUGGCGAAGGCAGAUCUCUGGGCCGUAACUGACGCUGAGGAGCGAAAGGGUGGGGAGCAAACAGGCUUAGAUACCCUGGUAGUCCACCCCGUAAACGUUGGGAACUAGUUGUGGGGUCCAUUCCACGGAUUCCGUGACGCAGCUAACGCAUUAAGUUCCCCGCCUGGGGAGUACGGCCGCAAGGCUAAAACUCAAAGGAAUUGACGGGGACCCGCACAAGCGGCGGAGCAUGCGGAUUAAUUCGAUGCAACGCGAAGAACCUUACCAAGGCUUGACAUAUACGAGAA